GAUGAACACUGGCGGCGUGCCUAAUACAUGCAAGUCGAGCGAACAGACGAGGAGCUUGCUCCUCUGACGUUAGCGGCGGACGGGUGAGUAACACGUGGAUAACCUACCUAUAAGACUGGGAUAACUUCGGGAAACCGGAGCUAAUACCGGAUAAUAUAUUGAACCGCAUGGUUCAAUAGUGAAAGACGGUUUUGCUGUCACUCAUAGAUGGAUCCGCGCCGCAUUAGCUAGUUGGUAAGGUAACGGCUUACCAAGGCAACGAUGCGUAGCCGACCUGAGAGGGUGAUCGGCCACACUGGAACUGAGACACGGUCCAGACUCCUACGGGAGGCAGCAGUAGGGAAUCUUCCGCAAUGGGCGAAAGCCUGACGGAGCAACGCCGCGUGAGUGAUGAAGGUCUUCGGAUCGUAAAACUCUGUUAUUAGGGAAGAACAAAUGUGUAAGUAACUAUGCACGUCUUGACGGUACCUAAUCAGAAAGCCACGGCUAACUACGUG
Molecule: ribosomal RNA, 497 nt
Filed under: uncultured bacterium
Lineage: Bacteria
Description: partial 16S ribosomal RNA
Rfam family: Bacterial small subunit ribosomal RNA
Source: RNAcentral